This 418-nucleotide ribosomal RNA is filed under the name uncultured prokaryote. RNAcentral's name for it is "bacterial SSU rRNA". It matches the Rfam family "Archaeal small subunit ribosomal RNA", at positions 455 to 873 of the family's 1478-position model. The record is from RNAcentral.
GUGUCAGCAGCCGCGGUAAUACCAGCUCUCCGAGUGGUGUGGAUGUUUAUUGGGCCUAAAGCAUCCGUAGCUGGCUGAGUUAGUCCUCUGUUAAAUCCACCGAAUUAAUCGUUGGAUUGCGGGGGAUACUGCUCGGCUAGGGGACGAGAGAGGCAGACGGUAUUCCCGGGGUAGGGGUGAAAUCCUAUAAUCCCGGGAGGACCACCAGUGGCGAAGGCUGUCUGCUAGAACGCGCCCGACGGUGAGGGAUGAAAGCUGGGGGAGCGAACCGGAUUAGAUACCCGGGUAGUCCCAGCUGUAAACGAUGCAGGCUAGGUGUUUGGGCGGCCACGUGCCGCUCUAGUGCCGCAGGGAAGCUGUUAAGCCUGCCGCCUGGGGAGUACGGUCGCAAGGCUGAAACUCAAAUGAAUUGACGGGG